Molecule: ribosomal RNA, 2916 nt
Filed under: Vibrio parahaemolyticus
Lineage: Bacteria; Pseudomonadati; Pseudomonadota; Gammaproteobacteria; Vibrionales; Vibrionaceae
Description: bacterial LSU rRNA
Rfam family: Bacterial large subunit ribosomal RNA
Source: RNAcentral
GUUGUAUGGUUAAGUGACUAAGCGUACACGGUGGAUGCCUUGGCAGUCAGAGGCGAUGAAAGACGUAGUAACUUGCGAUAAGCCCAGAUUAGGUAGUAACAACCAUUUGAGUCUGGGAUUUCUGAAUGGGGAAACCCACGUGCAUAAGCACGUAUCCUUACCUGAAUACAUAGGGUAAGGAGGCGAACCGGGGGAACUGAAACAUCUAAGUACCCCGAGGAAAAGAAAUCAACCGAGAUUCCGAAAGUAGCGGCGAGCGAAAUUGGACUAGCCCUUAAGCUUUACACGCGUUAGACGAACGGUCUGGAAAGUCCGACGAUACAGGGUGAUAGUCCCGUAGUUGACGACGUGUGUUCAGUGAAAUCGAGUAGGGCGGGACACGUGAUAUCCUGUCUGAAUAUGGGGGGACCAUCCUCCAAGGCUAAAUACUACUGACUGACCGAUAGUGAACCAGUACCGUGAGGGAAAGGCGAAAAGAACCCCUGUGAGGGGAGUGAAAUAGAACCUGAAACCGUGUACGUACAAGCAGUAGGAGCAGGCUUUGUCCUGUGACUGCGUACCUUUUGUAUAAUGGGUCAGCGACUUAUAUUCAGUGGCAAGGUUAACCAUCUAGGGGAGCCGUAGGGAAACCGAGUCUUAACUGGGCGUUCAGUCUCUGGAUAUAGACCCGAAACCAGGUGAUCUAGCCAUGGGCAGGUUGAAGGUUGAGUAACAUCAACUGGAGGACCGAACCGACUAAUGUUGAAAAAUUAGCGGAUGACUUGUGGCUAGGGGUGAAAGGCCAAUCAAACCUGGAGAUAGCUGGUUCUCCCCGAAAGCUAUUUAGGUAGCGCCUCGGACGAAUACUACUGGGGGUAGAGCACUGUUAAGGCUAGGGGGUCAUCCCGACUUACCAACCCUUUGCAAACUCCGAAUACCAGUAAGUACUAUCCGGGAGACACACGGCGGGUGCUAACGUCCGUCGUGGAGAGGGAAACAACCCAGACCGCCAGCUAAGGUCCCAAAUUACUACUAAGUGGGAAACGAUGUGGGAAGGCUCAGACAGCCAGGAUGUUGGCUUAGAAGCAGCCAUCAUUUAAAGAAAGCGUAAUAGCUCACUGGUCGAGUCGGCCUGCGCGGAAGAUGUAACGGGGCUAAGUAGUAAACCGAAGCUGCGGCAAUGUGCUUUUGCACAUUGGGUAGGGGAGCGUUCUGUAAGCGGUUGAAGGUGUGUGGUAACGCAUGCUGGACGUAUCAGAAGUGCGAAUGCUGACAUGAGUAACGAUAAAGGGGGUGAAAAACCUCCUCGCCGGAAGACCAAGGGUUCCUGUCCAACGUUAAUCGGGGCAGGGUAAGUCGACCCCUAAGGCGAGGCCGAAAGGCGUAGUCGAUGGGAAACGGGUUAAUAUUCCCGUACUUCUUACAAUUGCGAUGGGGGGACGGAGAAGGCUAGGUGGGCCUGGCGACGGUUGUCCAGGUUCAAGUGCGUAGGCUUGAGAGUUAGGUAAAUCCGGCUCUUUUUAAGGCUGAGACACGACGUCGAGCCACUACGGUGGUGAAGUCAUUGAUGCCAUGCUUCCAGGAAAAGCCUCUAAGCUUCAGAUUGUAAGGAAUCGUACCCCAAACCGACACAGGUGGUCGGGUAGAGAAUACCAAGGCGCUUGAGAGAACUCGGGUGAAGGAACUAGGCAAAAUGGUACCGUAACUUCGGGAGAAGGUACGCUCUCGACGGUGAAGUCCCUCGCGGAUGGAGCUAUUGAGAGUCGCAGAUACCAGGUGGCUGCAACUGUUUAUUAAAAACACAGCACUGUGCAAAAUCGUAAGAUGACGUAUACGGUGUGACGCCUGCCCGGUGCCGGAAGGUUAAUUGAUGGGGUUAGACUUCGGUCGAAGCUCUUGAUCGAAGCCCCGGUAAACGGCGGCCGUAACUAUAACGGUCCUAAGGUAGCGAAAUUCCUUGUCGGGUAAGUUCCGACCUGCACGAAUGGCGUAAUGAUGGCCACGCUGUCUCCACCCGAGACUCAGUGAAAUUGAAAUCGCUGUGAAGAUGCAGUGUACCCGCGGCUAGACGGAAAGACCCCGUGAACCUUUACUACAGCUUGGCACUGAACAUUGACCCUACAUGUGUAGGAUAGGUGGGAGGCUUUGAAGCACGUACGCCAGUAUGUGUGGAGCCGUCCUUGAAAUACCACCCUUGUAGUGUUGAUGUUCUAACGUCGACCCCUUAUCGGGGUUGCGGACAGUGCCUGGUGGGUAGUUUGACUGGGGCGGUCUCCUCCCAAAGAGUAACGGAGGAGCACGAAGGUGGGCUAAUCACGGUUGGACAUCGUGAGGUUAGUGCAAUGGCAUAAGCCCGCUUGACUGCGAGAAUGACAAUUCGAGCAGGUGCGAAAGCAGGUCAUAGUGAUCCGGUGGUUCUGAAUGGAAGGGCCAUCGCUCAACGGAUAAAAGGUACUCCGGGGAUAACAGGCUGAUACCGCCCAAGAGUUCAUAUCGACGGCGGUGUUUGGCACCUCGAUGUCGGCUCAUCACAUCCUGGGGCUGAAGUCGGUCCCAAGGGUAUGGCUGUUCGCCAUUUAAAGUGGUACGCGAGCUGGGUUUAGAACGUCGUGAGACAGUUCGGUCCCUAUCUGCCGUGGGCGUUGGAAGAUUGAAGGGGGCUGCUCCUAGUACGAGAGGACCGGAGUGGACGAACCUCUGGUGUUCGGGUUGUGUCGCCAGACGCAUUGCCCGGUAGCUAAGUUCGGAAUCGAUAACCGCUGAAAGCAUCUAAGCGGGAAGCGAGCCCUGAGAUGAGUCUUCCCUGAUACUUUAAGUAUCCUAAAGGGUUGUCGGAGACUACGACGUUGAUAGGUCAGGUGUGUAAGUGCUGUGAGGCAUUGAGCUAACUGAUACUAAUUGCCCGUGAGGCUUAACCAUACAACACCCAAGGGGUUU